AUUGAACGCUGGCGGCCGGCUUAACACAUGCAAGUCGAACGGGUGGCGGACGGGUGCGUAAUGCUUGGGCAUCUAGCUUAUGUAGGGGGAUAACUACGGGAAACUGUAGCUAAUACCGCGUACCAUAGGCUGAGCCCAAGUGGGAUUAGGUAGUUGGUGAGGUAAAGGCUCACCAAGCCGACGAUCUCUAGCUGGUCUGAGAGGAUGACCAGCCACACUGGGACGGAGAAACGGCCCAGACUCCUACGGGAGGCAGAAGUGGGGAAUAUUGCGCAAUGGGGGCAACCUGACGCAGCCAUGCCGCGUGAAUGAAGAAGGCCUUCGGGUUGUAAAGUUCUUUCGGUAGCGAGGCGUUAACUACAGAAGAAGCACCGGCUAACUCCGUGCCAGCAGCCGCGGUAAUUC
This 405-nucleotide ribosomal RNA is filed under the name uncultured bacterium. RNAcentral describes it as "partial 16S ribosomal RNA". It matches the Rfam family "Bacterial small subunit ribosomal RNA", at positions 30 to 526 of the family's 1533-position model. The record is from RNAcentral.